This 2182-nucleotide ribosomal RNA is filed under the name Triticum aestivum (bread wheat). RNAcentral's name for it is "partial small subunit ribosomal RNA". Lineage: Eukaryota; Viridiplantae; Streptophyta; Magnoliopsida; Poales; Poaceae. The record is from RNAcentral.
AAAAAACUGCUCAAACUGAACUAGAGUCCACCCCCGAUCUCGCUCCCGAGCCCAAACCAAUCCAUUCCCCUGGGCCCCCCUCCCGAUUUGGUCGCCGCCACAAUCAUCGCCGCUGAAUCCGGCGUCGCCCGCCCCCUUCUCUUCCAAUCUCCUGGUCUGCAGGGUAGACCGCCCACCAGAUCCCUCACAAAGAACCUGUCACUUGUGACAGAUACGGGCGACCAAGGGGUUUGACACGCCUCCUCGCUAGCCCUCGGUGCGGCGGCAGUCUCGAUGGAAUCCUGCCCUGGUGGGGGAUCCGAGGGAAGAAGCCGACGAGCACAAGGCGCUACUGCCAUGGCGUCCGAAGGGAGGCAUGGCAGGAAAUCUGAGGGAGGAAGUCUACAGGAAAUCCGCCAACGGCAUAUGUGAGCACCGCCUGCUGCUGUUGUUGUUGCAGCAGCAGUAGCGUGUGCGUGUCCGACUCCCACCUGUUUGGAUCGAACGACUUCUCGAUCCCUGGCUGCGUUGGGUAUCGAAUCCCAAAGUGAGAGGUUAACUCGUCGGCGUUGGACUGCCCUCUACACGAGCGCCAUCAGGUCGACUUUUCUUUCUCUGUAGCUCCUGUCAUUCCCGAAACAACAACAACGUGCACUGUAUUGAACCUGUCAUUCCUGCUUAGCAGUUCAGUCUGUAUUGAAUGAACAAUUGCCAUAUCUCUUUUACUAUAAUUGGGUUUUUGCAAAGAUAUUUUCAGACCAAGAGAUCGCGGGCUUAUUGGCUAAAGCUAAUGAUCAAAUCCUUGGACACUGGUAACAAUUAUUGAUAUGUGCGUGUGGGUCAUUCGCACAAACAAGUGUGUGAUUCCAUGACUUCUAUUAUAACUGAUUUUGAUUCCAAGUGUGUGAUUAAAUUGACAUUGUUUGAUCAUGCUUUGUUCCCUGUUUGAUCAGCGACAUCUUUCUUGUACACUAGCAGAAAUGGGUUUACACAACCAACUGUUUCGUCACUAUGCACUACAAAACUCAUUGGUUAAUACUUGAGUCCCUGACUCAACUGCAAGCAGGUUUAUUUCCCAGACAGACAGAUCGAGUUGAUGUGCCAGACAGAUCGAGUAUUGACCACUGUAGCAUAAUCUGUAAAUAACAUUAUGAUAUUCCUUGAGUAUGGCUUACUUAUCGUUUACUCAUACUCAUUGUUGCAUGGUGAACUAUGAGAAGAGGAUUAUCCUCUGUAGAUCCUGUCAAGUUGGAGAUGUUGCACACAUUUCAACGACAUGGAUCAUUAGCACUUUGUGUCUUAUCUUCUUCAGAAACAUAAAAGAAUAUGUAGUACUGGUGCAACUCAUAACUGUCGAUGUUAUGUUGAAUGGAGAGUGGUCAGUUUCUAUUGGUACUUUUCUCUCUUUGAAAUGCACACUGGUAUUAAAACAUAUUUUACAGCCAUGCGUUUUGUCUAUAGUUUUUUGUAAUACAGAAAUGCAAUUGUAAUGAAGAUGAUACCUUUCUGAACCAUUCCUACCAUUUUGUAAGGAAUAAACUACAUAUCUUACAUAGGUUUCUCAUCAUAGAAAAUACAAGGUCAGAUAUUUUAUUUAGGUCAAACUAUAGUAUGUGUGUUAUGAUUUUCUUCUCUAUAUAGCAAUGCUCAUCUGAUAAUCUUUCUUCAACUGACUGUUUCACAGUACAAGGCUACAAGCUCAAGCCAUUGAGAGAUGAUUCAAGUCAUGCACUGAUGUUCAGAUUUCCAUUCAUUCCACACUGUUGAUAUUUAUGAUCCACCUUUGGUAUGUACAUCUCUGAAUGUACACAGGUCUGGCAUUCACAUACCUGAAGGAUGUGGGAUUUGAGCGUGUGUGGGAAGAGCAAAAAGAUACUUUUCUAAUCCCUUGAGCUGGACAUUUUUCAUGCAUAUAUUUUUCAAUAUGCUGGCUUCCAAGGAUGAAUAGGUGGAGCCAUGGCCUUCACAUAAAGACAUCGUCGUAAGAAAUUUAAGGUCAAUUAACUUCACCUUUUUGUAAUGCUUAUCAUGUUAAUGGGUGUAUUUUUUCCCAUGCAUGUUUGUAUAGUUUGGCCGAAGAUUGUUUUUUCCUGUUUACGGCCUGACUUUAAGUUUUGAACCCGAGCCAUAAUUUUAAGUGCGGCCCUGUCUCUGUAAUCACCAUGUCCCGCCCACCACUUGGUAAUGCAAAUUUUUGGUCCAC